Molecule: ribosomal RNA, 424 nt
Filed under: uncultured fungus
Lineage: Eukaryota; Fungi
Description: eukaryotic LSU rRNA
Rfam family: Eukaryotic large subunit ribosomal RNA
Source: RNAcentral
UUGACCUCGGAUCAGGCAGGGAUACCCGCUGAACUUAAGCAUAUCAAUAAGCGGAGGAAAAGAAACCAACAGGGAUUGCCUCAGUAACGGCGAGUGAAGCGGCAACAGCUCAAAUUUGAAAUCUGGCUCUUUUAGGGUCCGAGUUGUAAUUUGUAGAGGAUGCUUCGGCGUGGGCUCCGGUCUAAGUUCCUUGGAACAGGACGUCAUAGAGGGUGAGAAUCCCGUAUGUGAUCGGUUGCCUUUGCCAUGUGAAGCUCCUUCGACGAGUCGAGUUGUGUGGGAAUGCAGCUCUAAAUGGGAGGUAAAUUUCUUCUAAAGCUAAAUACUGGCCAGAGACCGAUAGCGCACAAGUAGAGUGAUCGAAAGAUGAAAAGCACUUUGGAAAGAGAGUCAAAAGUACGUGAAAUUGUUGAACGAACGCUAA